CAACUUUUUUUUUUUAAUUUAAAUUCCGACUUUUAUUCAUCAUCCCAAAUGGGCAUAAGUAAUGGAUACAAACAGAGACUCAGAUAAAAUCCGUACAACCUAAAACUGCUCCGCUACACUUCCGAAUGAUACACAGACGGGUUACUUCGCUAAACUCCGGACCCAACUCUAAGAAGGAUACACAGACAAGCCGCUUAUCAUAACCCCAGACCCAACAUCGGUGAUCACCGGCUGGUUCCGGUUAAUCGGGGCGGGAGAACAAGUCUCCGCUUCCUCCUCCCCGAAUGAUCCAUUACCACCAUGAAGAUCAGAGAGAUUACAACACAACAUCACGAUCUAAAACUAUCACAACCUAAACACAAGAAAAAAAACAGACAACAUGUGUAAGAGAGAUAGUAUAAAGAUCUCCCCUUAACUAUAGUAUAUAUGCAUUCCUCUGUUUUAGGAAAUGUUAGUUAUGAUCUAACUUAGUCUCCAAGACUAACUCUGUAUAUAAACCUCUAUUGUACAUUACGUUCUAUAUAUCAAAAUACAUUUCCUAUAUGGUAUCAAGAGCAAACCGAUAACCCUAAAAAAUUUUUUUUCAGCCGCCAACUUCUUCUUCUCUUCUUCUUCUUCUCUCCUCUCGAGCUUUUCCUUCAUACACCCAUGGCUACCAAUGCUGAAAUUGUUGAUCCAACAAAAGCUCUUUUCAACCUUAACAUGGUCAAUGUUACCAAGUUAACAUCCAUCAACUUCAUGACAUGGAGCCUUCAGAUCCAGGCUCUACUCGAUGGCUAUGAUCUAGCCGGCUACCUUGACGGCACGACCAUAGCUCCUCCUCAAACCGUCACUGUUGAUGACCAACCAGUUGUCAACCCUGACUACUCCAAAUGGCGUCGCCAAGAUCGCUUGAUCUAUAGUGGUCUCAUCGGCACUUUGUCUCCAUCCAUUCAGUCGCUCGUUACCAACACCAAGACUUCCCAUGAGGUCUGGAAAUCACUCAGUGCAACCUAUGCUACUCCAACCAGAGGACACAUCCAACAACUUCGUCUCCAACUGAAGCACUUCGUCAAAGGUGACAAGAGCAUUGAUGACUACAUGAGAGAACUCACCAGCCGCUUUGAUCAACUCGCUCUUCUUGGAAAACCAUUGGACCAUGAAGACAAGAUAGAGUACAUCGUUGAUGGACUCCCGGAGGAUUACAAAACCGUUGUUGAUCAGAUAGAAGGGCGCGACACCACUCCUUCCGUUGUGGAAAUCCAUGAAAAGCUUAUCAACAGAGAGGCAAAGCUCUUGGCAGCCGUCACGCACACCUCUGCUUCAGUACCAAUGACAGCUAAUAUGGCUACCUCCCGUCCUAAGCAACAACAACAACAUCGUGGAAACAACUGGAACAACAACUACAAGACGAACCAGUACAACUCACAGAAACAAGAAAACAAAACUACCAAAGGAUAUCAAGGUCGGUGCCAAAUCUGCAGCAUCUUCGGUCACAGUGCAAGGAGAUGCCCUCAGAUGCAGCCACAGCAAGUCAACCUAACCGGGUCACCAUUCCGUCCGUGGCAACCUAGAGCUAAUGUAGCUGUCGCUGCUCAACACCCGUCAACUGCUUGGCUCAUGGACUCCGGUGCGACACACCACCUUACUAGUGAUCUGCACAAUAUGUCUCUGCAACAGCCGUACCUUGGUGAUGACUCCGUGAUGAUUGGAGACGGCUCAGGCCUAUCCAUCACACACACUGGUUCAAUAUCUCUUCCUUCUACUGCACGAAACUUAUUUCUAAAUAAUGUUCUAUGCGUGCCAAACAUUAAGAAGAACCUUAUAUCUGUUUAUCGCUUAUGUAAUGCUAACAAAGUAUCUGUUGAAUUUUUCCCUGCUCACUUUCAGGUGAAGGAUCUCAGCUCGGGGGUCCCGUUAAUCCAAGGCAAGACCAAGGAUGAGCUCUAUGAGUGGCCAGUCAACCCAUCUACCCUUCAAGCCUUUUUUGCUUCCUCUACCCCUACCAUAAGUCUGUCCGAUUGGCAUUUUCGUCUAGGACACCCGUCUGCUUCUAUUCUCAAAACUAUUGUUUCUCAUUUUUCUUUACCCUGCAAACAGUCUGUAACCCAAAAUACUUUGUGCUCAGAUUGUGCUAUCAAUAAAUCUCAUAAAUUACCCUUUCAUCAAACUUCCAUUACAUCUACUCGCCCACUUCAAUAUAUUUUUACUGACCUCUGGAGUUCUCUGGUUGUCUCUGUAGACAAUUAUAAAUACUACCUUGUGUUAGUAGACCACUACAGCCGAUACACCUGGCUCUAUCCAUUGAAGCUUAAGUCACAAGUCAAGGAGACAUUCCAAGCUUUCAAAGCACUCGUCGAGAACUUCUUCUCUACAAAAAUCGGCACAUUAUACUCAGAUAAUGGAGGGGAAUUCAUCGCUCUCCGAAAAAUUCUAUCUGAUGCAGGCAUUUCUCAUCUCACUUCACCACCUCACACUCCGGAGCACAACGGAAUCUCAGAGAGAAAGCACAGACAUGUGGUCGAAACAGGACUAACACUGCUCACUCAUGCUUCCAUGCCCAAGUCUUACUGGUCCUAUGCUUUCGCCACAGCAACCUAUCUCAUCAACCGCCUACCCACACCUGUCCUUAAGAUGGAUUCACCAUUUCACAAACUGUUUGGAACUCAGCCUAACUAUGCCAAAACUCGUGUCUACGGCUGUCUCUGCUUCCCUUGGUUACGGCCCUAUACACACCACAAACUAGAAGAUCGCUCUAUGCCGUGUGUCUUCAUUGGCUACUCCUCCACUCAGAGUGCCUAUCUCUGCCUUCAGCCCCACACCGGUCGAGUCUACGUCUCAAGACAUGUACGUUUCGACGAAUCAACCUUCCCUUUCAAAACAAACCUUAAGCCUACCCCGACCUCGACUACACCCGCUGAACCACCUCCUCCUACGUAUCCCCUAGCUACAACAAUCCCUAUACCGCUCCAGCCCCAACCACCACCCAACCCAAUUCCACCUGUUCCACUCGUAGAGCAAACGGGCACUCCGAGCUUGGACCCUCACCCGUCAGUUCAGGUACAAUCUUCAACACCUACUUUAAGUAUUACUAAUAGUGAUAAUGGUGGUGCAGAGUUAUCUCCAGGUUCGCCUUCUCCAAGUGUGGCGGAUUCCUCUACUGCAUCUCCCUUACCGGCUCUCUCCACUACGAUGGCUUCUUCUGCCUCUCAACCUCCGCCAUCACCAUCACCACCACCAGCACCGAUCAAUAAUCAUCCGAUGGUAACUCGAAGGAAGAACCAGAUCACAAAACCAAGCACAAAGUACAACUACUCUGCCGCUCGCCUGUCUGCUACACCAGCUGAACCAAACACAAUCACUCAGGCCCUCAAAGAUAAAGUAUGGAGAGAGUCAAUGUCGACGGAACUAGACGCUUUUGUGCGCAACGGCACCUUCACUCUGGUCCCACGGAAACCGGGUUACAAUGUCGUUGGUUGUCGCUGGCUCUACAAAAACAAGUUCAACUCAGAUGGUACUCAUCGCUGUCCAAAGUCCAGACUGGUUGCUAAGGGAUACAAGCAAGAGUUUGGUCGUGACUAUGUUGAGACGUUUAGUCCCGUUGUCAAGUCAACCACACUCAGAUUAGUUCUUGAUGUUGCGAUCAGUAACUCGUGGCCCGUGAAACAACUAGACGUUAACAACGCUUUUCUUCAGGGAACGCUGACGGAUGAGGUCUAUAUGGAACAGCCACCUGGCUUCAUUGACACAGACAAACCGGACUAUGUGUGCAGACUACAUAAGGCUGUUUAUGGACUCAAACAAGCUCCCAGAGCUUGGUACAUGGAACUUCGCAACUUCCUCCUCAGUCUGGGUUUCACGAACUCUCUAGCGGACACAUCACUUUUCGUUCUACAACACGGGGGCCACCUUAUCUAUUUAUUGGUUUAUGUCGAUGACAUCCUGAUAACCGGCAACACCACCACUGGUAUACAACGCAUUUUAACUCUCCUUGCAGAAAGAUUUUCAGUCAAAGAUGCAGAGGACUUGAACUACUUUCUCGGAAUCGAAGCUCAUCGCACGUCGAGUGGUCUCCAUCUCUGUCAACGAAAGUACAUACUGGACUUACUCCAUAAGUAUGACAUGAUGAACGCAAAGCCAGUAACCACGCCGAUGGCUUCGUCUCCAAAAAUCACUCUCAACUCUGGUGUCUCACUCUCGGAUCCAACUCAAUAUCGCCGACUAAUUGGGAGUCUUCAAUAUCUUCAGUUUACUCGUCUUGACAUUGCAUAUGCGGUCAACCGUCUCUCACAGUUCAUGCACAAGCCGACUGAAGAUCAUUGGCAGGCUGCUAAACGCAUCCUACGCUAUCUCGCUGGAACUCCGACACAUGGUGUUUUCUACUCUGCCAAGAACAACCUCGUACUUCGAGCUUACUCAGAUGCCGACUGGGCUGGUGACAGUGAUGACUAUGUCUCCACAAACUCCUAUGUCAUCUACCUCGGUCAACAUCCCAUAUCCUGGUCUUCAAAGAAACAAAAUGGUGUUGCAAGAUCAUCUACCGAAGCGGAGUAUCGUGCUGUUGCAAAUGCCACAUCAGAACUUAUAUGGAUUUGCAGUCUUCUCUCUGAGCUUGGUGUCUCGCUUCCAGCAGCUCCAGUCGUUUUCUGCGACAAUGUAGGAGCCACAUUCCUCUGUGCCAAUCCGAUCUUCCAUUCUCGUAUGAAACACAUCGCCAUUGACUACCACUUUGUUCGGGGACAAGUGCAACGCGGAGCUCUAACUGUUUCACAUGUCAACACUCGUGAUCAGCUAGCGGAUGCAUUAACGAAGCCACUCACUCGAGCCCGCUUCUUGGAACUGCGGAACAAGCUUGGCGUGACACCCACGCUGCAGCUUGAGGGGGCGUGUAAGAGAGAUAGUAUAAAGAUACAUUUCCUAUAACAACACAAGCAAACAUAAAACUAAAAAACGGGAUUGAAAGAGGCUGCAACACACAAACCAACUAGAACGAAACCUGCAACGAAACGGUUAGAAACACAUCCACUAGAGCAGCCAAAUGACUAA
RNAcentral lists this long non-coding RNA (5025 nucleotides) under Brassica napus (rape). RNAcentral's name for it is "long non-coding RNA (BNAP_LNC004459)". Lineage: Eukaryota; Viridiplantae; Streptophyta; Magnoliopsida; Brassicales; Brassicaceae. The record is from RNAcentral.